Molecule: long non-coding RNA, 256 nt
Filed under: Elaeis guineensis (African oil palm)
Lineage: Eukaryota; Viridiplantae; Streptophyta; Magnoliopsida; Arecales; Arecaceae
Description: long non-coding RNA (EGUI_LNC012340)
Source: RNAcentral
CUCAGUAUUGUUCUUUUCUGUCUCAGUUGGUACUACUUGUUUUAUUUGUUGGGUUUUCUCUGGCCAUUUUAAAACUUUUCCACUUCUAAGGGUCAUUAUGGAUUUCACAUGUUCAGGAUAGGUGUCUAGGCCAGUGGAGCUCUCAGCCAUAUACUAUCCUUUUGGGUUACUGAUUGGCUAACUGGAUAAUUUGCCUUCCUCUCUCCUAUUGAAGCUAUUACUAGCUGACCUACCUAGGUCACUAGCUUUGCUAUUG